UGAGGAAUUUUGGACAAUGGGCGCAAGCCUGAUCCAGCCAUGCCGCGUGCGGGAAGAAGGCCUUCGGGUUGUAAACUGCUUUUGUACGGAACGAAACGGUCUUUUCUAAUACAGAAGGCUAAUGACGGUACCGUAAGAAUAAGCACCGGCUAACUACGUGCCAGCAGCCGCGGUAAUACGUAGGGUGCGAGCGUUAAUCGGAAUUACUGGGCGUAAAGCGUGCGCAGGCGGUUUUGUAAGACAGAGGUGAAAUCCCCGGGCUCAACCUGGGAAUUGCCUUUGUGACUGCAAGGCUUGAGUGCGGCAGAGGGGGAUGGAAUUCCGCGUGUAGCAGUGAAAUGCGUAGAUAUCGAGAGGAAUACCAAAGGCGUAGGCAGGUCACUGGACAGUUACUGACACUGAGGAACGAAGGCCAGGGGAGCAAACG
Molecule: ribosomal RNA, 427 nt
Filed under: uncultured bacterium
Lineage: Bacteria
Description: bacterial SSU rRNA
Rfam family: Bacterial small subunit ribosomal RNA
Source: RNAcentral